UUCCAGGAUUCUCUUUGCCUAGAACACAGA
This 30-nucleotide non-coding RNA is filed under the name Mus musculus (house mouse). Lineage: Eukaryota; Metazoa; Chordata; Mammalia; Rodentia; Muridae. The record is from RNAcentral.